This 301-nucleotide ribosomal RNA is filed under the name uncultured bacterium. Its description in RNAcentral is "partial 16S ribosomal RNA". It matches the Rfam family "Bacterial small subunit ribosomal RNA", at positions 509 to 809 of the family's 1533-position model. The record is from RNAcentral.
CAGCCGCCGCGGUAAUACGAAGGGUGCAAGCGUUACUCGGAAUUACUGGGCGUAAAGCGUGCGUAGGUGGUGGUUUAAGUCCGUUGUGAAAGCCCUGGGCUCAACCUGGGAAUUGCAGUGGAUACUGGGUCACUAGAGUGUGGUAGAGGAUAGUGGAAUUUCCGGUGUAGCAGUGAAAUGCGUAGAGAUCGGAAGGAACAUCUGUGGCGAAGGCGACUAUCUGGGCCAACACUGACACUGAGGCACGAAAGCGUGGGGAGCAAACAGGAUUAGAUACCCCUGUAGUCCCUGUCUCUUAUAU